GACGAACGCUGGCGGCGUGCCUAAUACAUGCAAGUAGAACGCUGAAGAGAGGAGCUUGCUCUUCUUGGAUGAGUUGCGAACGGGUGAGUAACGCGUAGGUAACCUGCCUUGUAGCGGGGGAUAACUAUUGGAAACGAUAGCUAAUACCGCAUAACAAUGGAUGACACAUGUCAUUUAUUUGAAAGGGGCAAUUGCUCCACUACAAGAUGGACCUGCGUUGUAUUAGCUAGUAGGUGAGGUAACGGCUCACCUAGGCGACGAUACAUAGCCGACCUGAGAGGGUGAUCGGCCACACUGGGACUGAGACACGGCCCAGACUCCUACGGGAGGCAGCAGUAGGGAAUCUUCGGCAAUGAGGGCAACCCUGACCGAGCAACGCCGCGUGAGUGAAGAAGGUUUUCGGAUCGUAAAGCUCUGUUGUAAGUCAAGAACGAGUGUGAGAGUGGAAAGUUCACACUGUGACGGUAGCUUACCAGAAAGGGACGGCUAACUACGUGCCAGCAGCCGCGGUAAUACGUAGGUCCCGAGCGUUGUCCGGAUUUAUUGGGCGUAAAGCGAGCGCAGGCGGUUUGAUAAGUCUGAAGUUAAAGGCUGUGGCUCAACCAUAGUUCGCUUUGGAAACUGUCAAACUUGAGUGCAGAAGGGGAGAGUGGAAUUCCAUGUGUAGCGGUGAAAUGCGUAGAUAUAUGGAGGAACACCGGUGGCGAAAGCGGCUCUCUGGUCUGUAACUGACGCUGAGGCUCGAAAGCGUGGGGAGCGAACAGGAUUAGAUACCCUGGUAGUCCACGCCGUAAACGAUGAGUGCUAGGUGUUGGAUCCUUUCCGGGAUUCAGUGCCGCAGCUAACGCAUUAAGCACUCCGCCUGGGGAGUACGACCGCAAGGUUGAAACUCAAAGGAAUUGACGGGGGCCCGCACAAGCGGUGGAGCAUGUGGUUUAAUUCGAAGCAACGCGAAGAACCUUACCAGGUCUUGACAUCCCGAUGCUAUUUCUAGAGAUAGAAAGUUACUUCGGUACAUCGGUGACAGGUGGUGCAUGGUUGUCGUCAGCUCGUGUCGUGAGAUGUUGGGUUAAGUCCCGCAACGAGCGCAACCCCUAUUGUUAGUUGCCAUCAUUCAGUUGGGCACUCUAGCGAGACUGCCGGUAAUAAACCGGAGGAAGGUGGGGAUGACGUCAAAUCAUCAUGCCCCUUAUGACCUGGGCUACACACGUGCUACAAUGGUUGGUACAACGAGUUGCGAGUCGGUGACGGCAAGCUAAUCUCUUAAAGCCAAUCUCAGUCCGGAUUGUAGGCUGCAACUCGCCUACAUGAAGUCGGAAUCGCUAGUAAUCGCGGAUCAGCACGCCGCGGUGAAUACGUUCCCGGGCCU
This 1369-nucleotide ribosomal RNA is filed under the name uncultured bacterium. RNAcentral's name for it is "bacterial SSU rRNA". It matches the Rfam family "Bacterial small subunit ribosomal RNA", at positions 28 to 1381 of the family's 1533-position model. The record is from RNAcentral.